This 1642-nucleotide ribosomal RNA is filed under the name Salmonella enterica subsp. enterica. RNAcentral describes it as "bacterial SSU rRNA". It matches the Rfam family "Bacterial small subunit ribosomal RNA". The record is from RNAcentral. Lineage: Bacteria; Pseudomonadati; Pseudomonadota; Gammaproteobacteria; Enterobacterales; Enterobacteriaceae.
AAAUUGAAGAGUUUGAUCAUGGCUCAGAUUGAACGCUGGCGGCAGGCCUAACACAUGCAAGUCGAACGGUAACAGGAAGCAGCUUGCUGCUUCGCUGACGAGUGGCGGACGGGUGAGUAAUGUCUGGGAAACUGCCUGAUGGAGGGGGAUAACUACUGGAAACGGUGGCUAAUACCGCAUAACGUCGCAAGACCAAAGAGGGGGACCUUCGGGCCUCUUGCCAUCAGGAUGGAGGGGGAUAACUACUGGAAACGGUGGCUAAUACCGCAUAACGUCGCAAGACCAAAGAGGGGGACCUUCGGGCCUCUUGCCAUCAGAUGUGCCCAGAUGGGAUUAGCUUGUUGGUGAGGUAACGGCUCACCAAGGCGACGAUCCCUAGCUGGUCUGAGAGGAUGACCAGCCACACUGGAACUGAGACACGGUCCAGACUCCUACGGGAGGCAGCAGUGGGGAAUAUUGCACAAUGGGCGCAAGCCUGAUGCAGCCAUGCCGCGUGUAUGAAGAAGGCCUUCGGGUUGUAAAGUACUUUCAGCGGGGAGGAAGGUGUUGUGGUUAAUAACCGCAGCAAUUGACGUUACCCGCAGAAGAAGCACCGGCUAACUCCGUGCCAGCAGCCGCGGUAAUACGGAGGGUGCAAGCGUUAAUCGGAAUUACUGGGCGUAAAGCGCACGCAGGCGGUCUGUCAAGUCGGAUGUGAAAUCCCCGGGCUCAACCUGGGAACUGCAUUCGAAACUGGCAGGCUUGAGUCUUGUAGAGGGGGGUAGAAUUCCAGGUGUAGCGGUGAAAUGCGUAGAGAUCUGGAGGAAUACCGGUGGCGAAGGCGGCCCCCUGGACAAAGACUGACGCUCAGGUGCGAAAGCGUGGGGAGCAAACAGGAUUAGAUACCCUGGUAGUCCACGCCGUAAACGAUGUCUACUUGGAGGUUGUGCCCUUGAGGCGUGGCUUCCGGAGCUAACGCGUUAAGUAGACCGCCUGGGGAGUACGGCCGCAAGGUUAAAACUCAAAUGAAUUGACGGGGGCCCGCACAAGCGGUGGAGCAUGUGGUUUAAUUCGAUGCAACGCGAAGAACCUUACCUGGUCUUGACAUCCACAGAAGAAUCCAGAGAUGGAUUUGUGCCUUCGGGAACUGUGAGACAGGUGCUGCAUGGCUGUCGUCAGCUCGUGUUGUGAAAUGUUGGGUUAAGUCCCGCAACGAGCGCAACCCUUAUCCUUUGUUGCCAGCGAUUAGGUCGGGAACUCAAAGGAGACUGCCAGUGAUAAACUGGAGGAAGGUGGGGAUGACGUCAAGUCAUCAUGGCCCUUACGACCAGGGCUACACACGUGCUACAAUGGCGCAUACAAAGAGAAGCGACCUCGCGAGAGCAAGCGGACCUCAUAAAGUGCGUCGUAGUCCGGAUUGGAGUCUGCAACUCGACUCCAUGAAGUCGGAAUCGCUAGUAAUCGUGGAUCAGAAUGCCACGGUGAAUACGUUCCCGGGCCUUGUACACACCGCCCGUCACACCAUGGGAGUGGGUUGCAAAAGAAGUAGGUAGCUUAACCUUCGGGAGGGCGCUUACCACUUUGUGAUUCAUGACUGGGGUGAAGUCGUAACAAGGUAACCGUAGGGGAACCUGCGGUUGGAUCACCUCCUUACCUUAAAGAA